RNAcentral lists this long non-coding RNA (367 nucleotides) under Calidris pugnax (ruff). RNAcentral describes it as "lncRNA (ENSCPUG00000012485.1)". The record is from RNAcentral. Lineage: Eukaryota; Metazoa; Chordata; Aves; Charadriiformes; Scolopacidae.
AUGCAGGGUGGAAGGGACAGGGGGCAGAGAUGUCUUCCAAACCUGGUAUUGAGGAAAAGGACCACAGGACUACCUCAGGAAAGAAGAUACAACUUGGGAGAAGAUACAAACUUGGGAGGGAUCUUUCUUGCAAGUGAAAUAUUAGAAGCUAGUGAAAUCAUUCCAGUGCACCCACGCCAAGUGGGUGGAAGAGGUAUGUGAAAAUUAAAUGUAUUAUUUGGAAGCUUCUCUGGAUGCUUCUUGCUUUCCUGGGGGAAGGAAGGACCUAGAACUGUUUGAUUGUAUUGGGUUUUUUCCCACCUUAAUUGGCUUCAAUAAGCUUUAUGAACCAUUUCUGUCCAAGCAGUGUUCUAACACAUGUUCAAAA